UCCAACUACAACUAAAAAAUAAAAUAUUUUUUAAAAAAGAAAGAAAGAAAGAGAAAGAAAAGGAAAAACUGAUACAAGAUGGAAAUCUUGUCACUCAUGAGCUGGGUAACUAUAUCAGUUGUCAUGGUCAUGGUCAUCAGCUGACAAGAUGGUUUGUGGGGACUCUGCUCACGAGGAGUAAACAGUCUACUAAGGGAAAAACAAAGAGAGACACUGGGGUUCAGAACUUAGGAGCUCCCCUGCCAGUGCUCAGGAGAGACAGCAUGCGCUAGACAGGAAACCAGGGUAAGGUGUCUGGCUUUCAGUUUGACUUUAUUUCCCAUCACUUUAGAGAGUUAAGAAAAGUGUUUUUGUUGUUGUUAUUGUUUUUAUUUAGGGCCUCGUGUUCUUUCUCUGUACAACAAGAGACAGGCAAUAAAACAAGAUGUUCUAUUGCAAUUUUUUUUAGCUGUGACACUGGAGGAUGCUAUAAAAUGAAAGGUGGCUGAGCCAAUGGAUGGGUGGAUGGAGGGAGAAUGGAUAGCUGAGUGAGCAGAGUUGUGGCUGGUGGACAGAAGAACACGUGGACAGGUACACACGAUCUUCCUGAGGCCGAGUCCAACUUCCUAUCCCCAGAAUCAUCUUCCCAUUCCCAGACCCAGAGCAUGGGGUUCCAAGACAUAACAGAAACCUCAAUUGAAGGAGGAUGAAUAAGUGGAUGGAUUAAUAGGUGCAUUUGUUUUACCUUUUCUCCUUUCUCUUUCUUUUAAACCUCUCUCAUUUUUAACACCAUAUUUAACACCAUCUUUCUCAUGUUGGUUCACUCUUUUACAUCUUUAAGCAUUUAAAUCAUAGUUACUGUACAGUCCUUUACCCAAUAACUCUAAUGUCUGGGGUUCUAGGCCAAGGUGAAUCCUGUUGGAUGUUGUGUCUGCUUUGUCUCAUUUACCACAGAUUUUUUUCUUACAUUUUGUAAUUUGAGGUGUGAUCUGAGCUUCAUCAGAGUUUUAUCAGUAGGAAUUGACAUGACCAGGUUUGAGGAUACUAUACUUUGGAUCUUCAAUGUCUCCCAAAGGCCCCAUGUAUUAAUGGCUUGGUCCUCAGGGUAGUACUAUUGGAAGGUGAAACCUUUAAAAGGUAGGGCCUUGUCUAUGACCAUUCUACCCUGAAUGCACCCAAUCUUGUCUAAAAGGUAGGGCCUAGGGGGAGGCAUUGGAGCCAGGCCCCUGAGGGAGAUUUUGGGACCCUGGCCCAUCCAGUCUCUCUCUGCUCUCCGGUUUUUCUUCCACCAUGUACUCCUAUCGCGAGAUGCUGCCUCACCACAGGUCCAAAGCAAAGGAACCAACCUGUCAUGGACUGAACCCUCCCGAACUGUUGCCAGGUGCUGGGCGUGGUGGUACAUGCCUAUAGUCCCAGCUACUCAGGAGGCUGAAGCAGGAGGAUCACUUGAGCCCAGGAGCUGGAGGCCAACCUGAACAACAGAAUGACUGAGGGUGCAGCUCUGUGGUAAAGCACCCCUCGUUUGUCAGGUAAUAAUUAGCAGCGAGCAGUGAAAUGCAUGCCAAGGCCACAAGUGUUCUUUAAAUUGCUAUAGGGUUUUCCUUUAAACACUUUCAAGAUGGACAAGAAAGCAAAAGAUGGUCGUUAAUUUGUAGAAAAUAAAUGAAAACAAAGGAGUUAACUUGGAAAAUAUGUCAAGAGAAAAGAACUAAUGUGACUAAAUCUUGACAAGGUCCAUUGAGGUUGGUAUGAAACUCGGGAUUGUGGCUGUAAGUGUUUCUAUUGUCUGGGAAGGAGGAUUCCUUCAGUGGUGACACGCUAGGAUAACCUCUGACCAGCUACUGGCCCCAGUGUCCACAUUAACAGGAUUGACUUGUAGAUGAAGCCCCCCUAAAUAGGAUGGCCACAAUGACAGUUCUGGAGAGGACCAAUUAAGGUCAAAAACUCCAUCAUCUGACGUGAAGGAGGAGGAGUUGGGCACCUGAUUGGUGAAGGUUGCUGGAAGAGGACCCCAGUUCUCCUGGUAAACUUCAAACAGUAAUAAAUUUGGAGGCAGCAUUGUAACCCUUGUCAUUCUCUGCUGAGAAAUGUCCUCUCUCUCUCUCUCUCUCUCUCUCUCUCUGAGAGUGCUCUCUGCUUGAGCCUCACUUUGCUUUCACUUUACUUUCAUCUCAAUUUUCUCAAUUUCACUUAUAAUAAAGUUCUCUUUAUGGA
Marmota flaviventris (yellow-bellied marmot) is the source of this 2193-nucleotide non-coding RNA. The record is from RefSeq and is a predicted model, not a curated record. NCBI's taxonomy places the organism in Eukaryota, Metazoa, Chordata, Mammalia, Rodentia, Sciuridae.